This 305-nucleotide ribosomal RNA is filed under the name uncultured bacterium. RNAcentral describes it as "bacterial SSU rRNA". It matches the Rfam family "Bacterial small subunit ribosomal RNA", at positions 332 to 637 of the family's 1533-position model. The record is from RNAcentral.
CAGCCUACGGGAGGAAGCAGUGAGGAAUAAUGGUAAAUGGGAGGGAGCCUGAACCAGCCAAGUCGCGUGAGGGAAGACGGUCCUAUGGAUUGUAAACCUCUUUAGGCGGGGAGCAAUGCCGGGCACGUGUGCCCGGAGGGAGAGUACCCGCAGAAUAAGCAUCGGCUAACUCCGGGCCAGCAGCCGCGGUAAUACGGAGGAUGCGAGCGUUAUCCGGAUUUAUUGGGCUUAAAGGGUGCGUAGGCGGAUUUUUAAGUCAGCGGUAAAAUGUCCGGGCUCAACCCGGGCCGGCCGUUGAAACUGGG